ACCAAACACAGUCCACACGAAGAAGAGAUUUGGCUUCUCUAAGCCACAUGGUCUCAGCCCACCCGACUCUGACCACACAAGCCUCCAGGCUUCCCUCUCUGUAAGGUCACUUCCUCUUCCCCAGACUGACACACUUAGGGCUGGUUUAAUG
Molecule: long non-coding RNA, 151 nt
Organism: Bufo bufo (common toad)
Lineage: Eukaryota; Metazoa; Chordata; Amphibia; Anura; Bufonidae
Exons: 4
Source: RefSeq, a predicted model, not a curated record